UUAAGCGACUAAGCGUACACGGUGGAUGCCCUGGCAGUCAGAGGCGAUGAAGGACGUGCUAAUCUGCGAAAAGCGUCGGUAAGGUGAUAUGAACCGUUANNNNNNNNNNNNNNNNNCCGGCGAUGUCCGAAUGGGGAAACCCAGUGCAAUUCGUUGCACUAUCGUUAACUGAAUACAUAGGUUAACGAGGCGAACCGGGGGAACUGAAACAUCUAAGUACCCCGAGGAAAAGAAAUCAACCGAGAUUCCCCCAGUAGCGGCGAGCGAACGGGGAGCAGCCCAGAGUCUGAAUCAGCUUGUGUGUUAGUGGAACGGUCUGGAAAGUCCGACGGUACAGGGUGAUAGUCCCGUACACCAAAAUGCACAGGCUGUGAACUCGAAGAGUAGGGCGGGACACGUGGUAUCCUGUCUGAAUAUGGGGGGACCAUCCUCCAAGGCUAAAUACUCCUGACUGACCGAUAGUGAACCAGUACCGUGAGGGAAAGGCGAAAAGAACCCCGGCGAGGGGAGUGAAAAAGAACCUGAAACCGUGUACGUACAAGCAGUGGGAGCACCUUCGGGUGUGACUGCGUACCUUUUGUAUAAUGGGUCAGCGACUUAUAUUCUGUAGCAAGGUUAACCGUAUAGGGGAGCCGCAGGGAAACCGAGUCUUAACUGGGCGUUAAGUUGCAGGGUAUAGACCCGAAACCCGGUGAUCUAGCCAUGGGCAGGUUGAAGGUUGGGUAACACUAACUGGAGGACCGAACCGACUAAUGUUGAAAAAUUAGCGGAUGACUUGUGGCUGGGGGUGAAAGGCCAAUCAAACCGGGAGAUAGCUGGUUCUCCCCGAAAGCUAUUUAGGUAGCGCCUCGUGAACUCAUCUUCGGGGGUAGAGCACUGUUUCGGCUAGGGGGUCAUCCCGACUUACCAACCCGAUGCAAACUACGAAUACCGAAGAAUGUUAUCACGGGAGACACACGGCGGGUGCUAACGUCCGUCGUGAAGAGGGAAACAACCCAGACCGCCAGCUAAGGUCCCAAAGUCAUGGUUAAGUGGGAAACGAUGUGGGAAGGCACAGACAGCCAGGAUGUUGGCUUAGAAGCAGCCAUCAUUUAAAGAAAGCGUAAUAGCUCACUGGUCGAGUCGGCCUGCGCGGAAGAUGUAACGGGGCUAAACCAUGCACCGAAGCUGCGGCAGCGACACUAUGUGUUGUUGGGUAGGGGAGCGUUCUGUAAGCCUGCGAAGGUGUGCUGUGAGGCAUGCUGGAGGUAUCAGAAGUGCGAAUGCUGACAUAAGUAACGAUAAAGCGGGUGAAAAGCCCGCUCGCCGGAAGACCAAGGGUUCCUGUCCAACGUUAAUCGGGGCAGGGUGAGUCGACCCCUAAGGCGAGGCCGAAAGGCGUAGUCGAUGGGAAACAGGUUAAUAUUCCUGUACUUGGUGUUACUGCGAAGGGGGGACGGAGAAGGCUAUGUUAGCCGGGCGACGGUUGUCCCGGUUUAAGCAUGUAGGCUGGUUAUCCAGGCAAAUCCGGAUAAUCAAGGCUGAGGUGUGAUGACGAGGCACUACGGUGCUGAAGUAACAAAUGCCCUGCUUCCAGGAAAAGCCUCUAAGCAUCAGGUAACAUCAAAUCGUACCCCAAACCGACACAGGUGGUCAGGUAGAGAAUACCAAGGCGCUUGAGAGAACUCGGGUGAAGGAACUAGGCAAAAUGGUGCCGUAACUUCGGGAGAAGGCACGCUGGUGUGUAGGUGAAGUCCCUGCGGAUGGAGCUGAGACCAGUCGAAGAUACCAGCUGGCUGCAACUGUUUAUUAAAAACACAGCACUGUGCAAACACGAAAGUGGACGUAUACGGUGUGACGCCUGCCCGGUGCCGGAAGGUUAAUUGAUGGGGUUAUCCGUAAGGAGAAGCUCUUGAUCGAAGCCCCGGUAAACGGCGGCCGUAACUAUAACGGUCCUAAGGUAGCGAAAUUCCUUGUCGGGUAAGUUCCGACCUGCACGAAUGGCGUAAUGAUGGCCAGGCUGUCUCCACCCGAGACUCAGUGAAAUUGAACUCGCUGUGAAGAUGCAGUGUACCCGCGGCAAGACGGAAAGACCCCGUGAACCUUUACUAUAGCUUGACACUGAACAUUGAGCCUUGAUGUGUAGGAUAGGUGGGAGGCUUUGAAGCGUGGACGCCAGUCUGCGUGGAGCCAACCUUGAAAUACCACCCUUUAAUGUUUGAUGUUCUAACGUUGGCCCCUGACCGGGGUUGCGGACAGUGUCUGGUGGGUAGUUUGACUGGGGCGGUCUCCUCCCAAAGCGUAACGGAGGAGCACGAAGGUUAGCUAAUCCUGGUCGGACAUCAGGAGGUUAGUGCAAUGGCAUAAGCUAGCUUGACUGCGAGCGUGACGGCGCGAGCAGGUGCGAAAGCAGGUCAUAGUGAUCCGGUGGUUCUGAAUGGAAGGGCCAUCGCUCAACGGAUAAAAGGUACUCCGGGGAUAACAGGCUGAUACCGCCCAAGAGUUCAUAUCGACGGCGGUGUUUGGCACCUCGAUGUCGGCUCAUCACAUCCUGGGGCUGAAGUAGGUCCCAAGGGUAUGGCUGUUCGCCAUUUAAAGUGGUACGCGAGCUGGGUUUAGAACGUCGUGAGACAGUUCGGUCCCUAUCUGCCGUGGGCGCUGGAGAAUUGAGGGGGGCUGCUCCUAGUACGAGAGGACCGGAGUGGACGCAUCACUGGUGUUCGGGUUGUCAUGCCAAUGGCACUGCCCGGUAGCUAAAUGCGGAAGAGAUAAGUGCUGAAAGCAUCUAAGCACGAAACUUGCCCCGAGAUGAGUUCUCCCUGAGACUAUAAGUCUCCUGAAGGAACGUUNGACGUUGAUAGGCCGGGUGUGUAAGCGCAGCGAUGCGUUGAGCUAACCGGUACUAAUGAACCGUGAGGCUUAACCUU
Molecule: ribosomal RNA, 2906 nt
Filed under: Klebsiella pneumoniae
Lineage: Bacteria; Pseudomonadati; Pseudomonadota; Gammaproteobacteria; Enterobacterales; Enterobacteriaceae
Description: bacterial LSU rRNA
Rfam family: Bacterial large subunit ribosomal RNA
Source: RNAcentral